RNAcentral lists this ribosomal RNA (251 nucleotides) under uncultured prokaryote. RNAcentral's name for it is "partial 16S ribosomal RNA". It matches the Rfam family "Bacterial small subunit ribosomal RNA", at positions 525 to 775 of the family's 1533-position model. The record is from RNAcentral.
ACGAAGGGGGCUAGCGUUGCUCGGAAUCACUGGGCGUAAAGCGCACGUAGGCGGACUCUUAAGUCGGGGGUGAAAUCCUGAGGCUCAACCUCAGAACUGCCCUCGAUACUGGGAGUCUCGAGUCCGGGAGAGGUGAGUGGAACUCCGAGUGUAGUGGUGAAAUGCGUAGAGAUGCGGAGGAACACCAGUGGCGAAGGCGACACGCUGGACCUGACCUGACGCUCAGACGCGAAAGCGUGGGGAGCGAACGG